This 423-nucleotide ribosomal RNA is filed under the name uncultured archaeon. Its description in RNAcentral is "bacterial SSU rRNA". It matches the Rfam family "Archaeal small subunit ribosomal RNA", at positions 322 to 747 of the family's 1478-position model. The record is from RNAcentral.
CCUAUGGGGUGCAGCAGUUAGGAAUCUUCUGCAAUGCGCGCAAGCGUGACAGAUUGAGUCAGAGUGCUUUUCAUAUGAAAAGCUUUUGCCAAAUGUAAAAAGUUUGGCGAAUAAGGACUGGGUAAGACGGGUGCCAGCCGCCGCGGUAAUACCCGCGGUCCAAGUCGCAGCCAUUAUUAUUGGGUCUAAAACAUCCGUAGCUUGCUUAGUAAGUUUCUUGUGAAAUUCCAUGUCUUAAAUAUGGAGCGGGCAAGAAGUACUGUUAAGCUAGAGACUGGAAGACGUAAGAAGUACGUUUGGAGUAGCGGUAAAAUGUGUUAAUCCCAGACGGACUAACAACAGCGAAGGCAUCUUACGAGGACAGUUCUGACAGUAAGGGAUGAAGGCUAGGGGCGCGAAAGGGAUUAGAUACCCCCGUAGUCC